GGGGUCCAAUGGUGGUGGGUUAUCAAAACUUACUAACAUUAGUGUCACUAUAGUUGGUAUACAACCCCCCACUGCUAAAUUUGACUGGCUAAA
Molecule: Y RNA, 93 nt
Filed under: Propithecus coquereli (Coquerel's sifaka)
Lineage: Eukaryota; Metazoa; Chordata; Mammalia; Primates; Indriidae
Description: Y RNA (ENSPCOG00000005267.1)
Rfam family: Y RNA
About the family: Y RNAs are components of the Ro ribonucleoprotein particle (Ro RNP), in association with Ro60 and La proteins. The Y RNAs and Ro60 and La proteins are well conserved, but the function of the Ro RNP is not known. In humans the RNA component can be one of four small RNAs -- hY1, hY3, hY4 and hY5.
Source: Rfam by way of RNAcentral